This 447-nucleotide ribosomal RNA is filed under the name Staphylococcus epidermidis. Its description in RNAcentral is "bacterial SSU rRNA". It matches the Rfam family "Bacterial small subunit ribosomal RNA", at positions 35 to 470 of the family's 1533-position model. Lineage: Bacteria; Bacillati; Bacillota; Bacilli; Caryophanales; Staphylococcaceae. The record is from RNAcentral.
GCUGGCGGCGUGCCUAAUACAUGCAAGUCGAGCGAACAGACGAGGAGCUUGCUCCUCUGACGUUAGCGGCGGACGGGUGAGUAACACGUGGAUAACCUACCUAUAAGACUGGGAUAACUUCGGGAAACCGGAGCUAAUACCGGAUAAUAUAUUGAACCGCAUGGUUCAAUAGUGAAAGACGGUUUUGCUGUCACUUAUAGAUGGAUCCGCGCCGCAUUAGCUAGUUGGUAAGGUAACGGCUUACCAAGGCAACGAUGCGUAGCCGACCUGAGAGGGUGAUCGGCCACACUGGAACUGAGACACGGUCCAGACUCCUACGGGAGGCAGCAGUAGGGAAUCUUCCGCAAUGGGCGAAAGCCUGACGGAGCAACGCCGCGUGAGUGAUGAAGGUCUUCGGAUCGUAAAACUCUGUUAUUAGGGAAGAACAAAUGUGUAAGUAACUAUGCA